This 82-nucleotide transfer RNA is filed under the name Karenia brevis. Its description in RNAcentral is "Selenocysteine transfer RNA". Lineage: Eukaryota; Dinophyceae; Gymnodiniales; Kareniaceae. The record is from RNAcentral.
UCAUCCUCUGUGGUGUCGGCUUUGGGCUUCAAGCGUUCCCGUUGAGCUUUAUGGAAGGACGCUAAAGCUUGUUUCAAUUCCU